Molecule: unclassified non-coding RNA, 249 nt
Filed under: uncultured organism
Description: sequence contains 5.8S rRNA gene
Rfam family: 5.8S ribosomal RNA (bases 1-53)
Source: RNAcentral
GAACGCACAUUGCGCCCUGUGGUAUUCCGCAGGGCAUGCCUGUUCGAGCGUCAUUCAACCCCCUCAAGCUCUGCUUGGUGUUGGGCGUUUGUCCUGCCUUCUGGCACGGACUCGCCUCAAAAAUAUUGGCAGCCACCUCCCUGGCUUCGAGCGCAGCACCUUUGCGCCCGGUACUUGGGGGUCGUGGCUCCCCAAAAGCACUCCUUUCGGUUGACCUCGGAUCAGGUAGGGAUACCCGCUGAACUUAAG